Molecule: long non-coding RNA, 979 nt
Organism: Chinchilla lanigera (long-tailed chinchilla)
Lineage: Eukaryota; Metazoa; Chordata; Mammalia; Rodentia; Chinchillidae
Exons: 3
Source: RefSeq, a predicted model, not a curated record
GCGGCCCCUCCAUGGCUUCGUCCCGAAAUGGACAGACACGCGAGGGCGCCUGAGGAGAGUGGAGAGCAUACGACUUGGUAGGACACAUCUGUAUGCCUCUGUGGGGGCACCAUAAACUUCUUGCUUUCCUAGGCCUGGGGCUGCAGGUUGCUUUGGGAAUGUCAGAUAUGAAACAAGAGGGACAUUUUCUCCAGACAGAGAUAGCCAUUGCCUUCUUCUUCUAAAGUGAAGCGGGAAGAGACCUAACCUCAUCAAUCUUCAAAGAAAUGCUCCUUGGAAAAAGACUAUCUUAGCCAGCCACACUGGCAUACACCUGUAAUCCCAGGAUUAAUCAAGGCCAGCCUGGACCACACAGUCAGUUCAACACCACCCUCAACUAUAUAGUAAGACCCUGUCUCAGUCUACCUCUCACAAAAGAAAAAAAAAACUGUCUUAGAAAAGAGUAUUUUCUCAGCAUUUCUCACAUGUGCACCUCCAUCUCUAAAGAGCUGCUCUUACCCUACAGUUCUGUGUGUGUAAUCAUCAUUCUUAUCUCUCAAUCCCCCCGUCACGUCCCUCUACUCCUGUGUUUAUGUGCUUAGCAGAUUCUUAGUCCCAGCAUACACGUCUCAUAUAUCAUAUAUAUGCUGAGGAUCAGACCCAAGACCUUAAGCAUAUGACACACCUGCUGUACCACUGAGCUACAUCCUCAGCCCCUCAUUAUAUUAACCUGAUAAAUAUUUAGCCUCAUUUCAACUCUUGGAUGGGUGGUAGAUGGAAAAAGAUAAUCCCAGCAAUUUCAUUAAUGGCAAGUUCUCUAGAAUCAGGGAACCUGUUUCAUUUCUCUCCAUAGUCCCCACAGAACUUGGGUCUGCACACAGUAGGCCCUCAGUAAAAGCCAACUAAAUGAAUUAAUGCUAGAUCUUGGUAUUAAAGUUCUCAUUCAAAGUGAAGCUAUUUCAGAAGCAAUAUGGAAACGAGGAGUCAGGAGCUCUAGAAG